Molecule: ribosomal RNA, 444 nt
Filed under: uncultured bacterium
Lineage: Bacteria
Description: bacterial SSU rRNA
Rfam family: Bacterial small subunit ribosomal RNA
Source: RNAcentral
AUUGAACGCUGGCGGCAGGCCUAACACAUGCAAGUCGAACGGUAACAGAAAGAAGCUUGCUUCUUUGCUGACGAGUGGCGGACGGGUGAGUAAUGCUUGGGAAUUUGCCUUGAGGUGGGGGACAACAGUUGGAAACGACUGCUAAUACCGCAUAAUACCUACGGGUCAAAGGGGGCUCCGGCUCUCGCCUUUAGAGAAGCCCAAGUGGGAUUAGAUAGUUGGUGGGGUAAUGGCCUACCAAGUCAACGAUCCCUAGCUGGUCUGAGAGGAUGAUCAGCCACACUGGAACUGAGACACGGUCCAGACUCCUACGGGAGGCAGCAGUGGGGAAUAUUGCACAAUGGGCGAAAGCCUGAUGCAGCCAUGCCGCGUGUGUGAAGAAGGCCUUCGGGUUGUAAAGCACUUUCAGUAGGGAGGAAGAUUUAGUAGUUAAUACCUGCUAGG